This 468-nucleotide ribosomal RNA is filed under the name uncultured bacterium. RNAcentral's name for it is "partial 16S ribosomal RNA". It matches the Rfam family "Bacterial small subunit ribosomal RNA", at positions 28 to 507 of the family's 1533-position model. The record is from RNAcentral.
GACGAACGCUGGCGGCGUGCUUAACACAUGCCGGUCGAACGGAAAGGCCCUGCUUUUGUGGGGUGCUCGAGUGGCGAACGGGUGAGUAACACGUGAGUAACCUGCCCUUGACUUUGGGAUAACUUCAGGAAACUGGGGCUAAUACCGGAUAGGAGCUCCUGCUGCAUGGUGGGGGUUGGAAAGUUUCGGCGGUUGGGGAUGGACUCGCGGCUUAUCAGCUUGUUGGUGGGGUAGUGGCUUACCAAGGCUUUGACGGGUAGCCGGCCUGAGAGGGUGACCGGCAACAUUGGGACUGAGAUACGGCCCAGACUCCUACGGGAGGCAGCAGUGGGGAAUAUUGCACAAUGGGCGGAAGCCUAAUGAAGCAACGCCGCGUGCGGGAUGACGGCCUUCGGGUUGUAAACCGCUUUCGCCUGUGACGAAGCGUGAGUGACGGUAAUGGGUAAAGAAGCACCGGCUAACUACGUG